UUUAUCUUCUUCUUCUCUCUAUACGUUGGUGUUCUAACCAAUAAUCAACGAUGCGAUGUUCUGUCCGAUCGAUUCAGGAACCAUCUAACGAAUGCCGAAGUGUUGUACUUUGUGAAUUUCGUUAAACGGAAUCCAGAGUACUAUACUUUGUGAGUUCAUUAAAUGGAUAUCAAAGUACUGUCUGAAUAAGACUAUACUUUGUGAAAUUCGUUAAGGUUCGAAUCUCGUGACUACCGUUAAGGUUUGAUUUGGGUUUUACACAAAUACGUAUUCCAUUCUGUUAAACUAUAUGUUUAACUACCGAAAAUACUCCCCACUACACACUCGCAAUCAAACAAACUAUUAAAUCAUCAGAAGAUCCAGAAUAAUAAAGUGCAUGCUUAAUUAUCGGAAGAAGUAGAAUCAAGAAGCUUGUUAACUCAAUCUUGCAUGCUUAUAAAGGGAGUCAUUCUCUUUUUAUCAACUGUUUUACAAAACUCCAAAUUAUUUUCCAAAGUUAUAAUUACAGGGAUUAAGUCUAUGUAAUCACCAAAGUACAGCCGGUAUGUGGGGUUUUGUGAUCUGGUAUGAGCAAAGAAAAGUGCCGUGGAGCACUCCCAGCUUAGAAAAGUGGCUCAAUGUAAAUAAAUAAAUGAACAUGUUUUGAAAAUAAAGAUUUCCUUGAGAAAUCACAUUAUUGUAAAUUUAGGGAAUUUAUCCCUAAGUUAUGAAACGAGCAGUUUAAAUUAUUGAAAGAUCCUGUUUUUUU
RNAcentral lists this long non-coding RNA (748 nucleotides) under Helianthus annuus (common sunflower). Its description in RNAcentral is "hypothetical non coding rna". Lineage: Eukaryota; Viridiplantae; Streptophyta; Magnoliopsida; Asterales; Asteraceae. The record is from RNAcentral.